GUGACGUAUAUUCUACGCGCCGUGGAAAUAUAAAAUUAAAGGUUUCCGUCCGCUUGUUCUUUUCGUCCAGAUGGCUGUACUUGCAAUAAUGUUACGGAAAUGUUUAAUUAUAUUAUCGAUUCAAGUAGCUCAGUCUCCCUGAAACUGCGACUUGGUGUAUUAAAUUAGGUAGUACGUUAUUUGUUUCGUGAAGAAAUGGCGCGUUCGGAGAAGAGUAAUUUGGAUGUGUUCGUUCGUCACAACGGUCAACAACUCGCCUUCAUGUUUCUACAGGAGACCAUGUUGGUGGAUGGGACUUGAACUGGACCAUUGAUCUAGGCUUCUCACCUGACCUGGGGUGUGAUGUUGCAGGUAUGCUGUGUGAGUGGAAACUUGAACACAUCAGCUCACAGUAUGGGACUAGGGGCUCAUGAGAGGUGGAUGACCCAUUUGCUGUGUGAAAUGAAGACAUUUGGACAUGCUGGUGUCACCUGA
RNAcentral lists this long non-coding RNA (474 nucleotides) under Scleropages formosus (Asian bonytongue). RNAcentral's name for it is "lncRNA (ENSSFOG00015031935.1)". The record is from RNAcentral. Lineage: Eukaryota; Metazoa; Chordata; Actinopteri; Osteoglossiformes; Osteoglossidae.